CCUGGAGUCUGCACCUUGAGGGGGGGGUACUGUCACGUCCUGACCAGCAGAGGGCGUAUUGCUUAGUCUAGGUCAGGAUGUGGCAGGGGGUUUGUGUUUGUUAAAUGUUGGGUUGAUGAUUGGGACUUCCAAUUGAAGGCAGGUGUGUAUAGUUGCCUUUGAUUGGAAGUCCUAUAUAGGUGUUUGUCUUUGGGGUUGUGGGGAAUUGUUCUGUGUUGAGCCUAUGCUUUGCCAGACUGUUGGUUGUUCGUGCAUUCUCGUACUGUAUGAAUGUCUACCAAUGGCAUGCCUGGUGGUGUUUUUUGGUUGUUUCGCCCAUCAAGCAAGGAGAUUUUGUGUGGAGGUCAAUGAGAUGGUGUCGAAUUUGGUCAACAAAAAAGUG
Molecule: long non-coding RNA, 382 nt
Filed under: Salmo salar (Atlantic salmon)
Lineage: Eukaryota; Metazoa; Chordata; Actinopteri; Salmoniformes; Salmonidae
Description: lncRNA (ENSSSAG00000111291.1)
Source: RNAcentral